Molecule: long non-coding RNA, 1991 nt
Filed under: Ananas comosus (pineapple)
Lineage: Eukaryota; Viridiplantae; Streptophyta; Magnoliopsida; Poales; Bromeliaceae
Description: long non-coding RNA (ACOM_LNC041682)
Source: RNAcentral
GAUGUUUGUGGGUCGGAUGGCAUUUAAUUUGAGAAAAACUUGUGAUGUCCUUUGUGGCUUGCUUUGAGGGCAACAAGAAUGGUCGGUCUGAUAUACGAAACGAAAUGUACUUCUCUAUAAAGAAUUUUUUUUUUUUUUUUUUUUGAGAGAUAGGUAGCACGCUACCCGUUUUGUUUAUUUCAUUUAGAAAUAAACUUAGCUAGAAAUAUGAAUCAAUUAGGAUUCGAACUUAGGUCUCUGGUACCAUUUACCAAAUUCUUUGUCAUUUGUUCUAGAACAGUCGGUCUAUAGAGAAAUUAUUUGUUGGGAACUCUUUGGAGUUUAACGAACAAUUCAAUAUAAGACGUGAUGCUGAAUAGUAAGGCUCGCAAGGAGCACGCAUGGCUAAAACAUCUACAUUAAUAUUUUACUAUUUUCUAAUCAAAACUCAGAAAGGCUGGUCUAAAUGUGCGGUACUUAGAAGCCGCACAUAAAUCCACAUGCCAAAUCAAUUUGUUCUUAUUUUUAUUUUUUUUAAAAAAAAAUGAGCUUCUAACUGUUGGCUUAAAUAAACUAGUAUCCUGUCCUGUGGCGAGAGGUUAUGUUGGGUCAAGUCAUAUUCGAAAUGGCGUGAGGCUGAGUAGGCCAAGUCAUGUUCGAAGUGAUGUGAGGCUGAUUGGGUCGAGUCACAAUCGAGACGUGUGGGUGCUAUAUCUGUACGCUUUAAGUGAAUUGGCUGCGUAUUUCUAACAGCUCGAGCUUUUGAGAUUAAUGGUUAACGCCAACGAUCCGACACUCAUCACUUUCCUCCUAUUUACCCUCUUUUUUAAAAAAAAAAAUUGUAAUCAAGGAUGGAUCAUUUAUUUAUGGAAAAACUUCAAAUACCCCCACAUAGGGAAAACUUCAAAUACCCCCAUGUCGUUUUGCAGUUUCUCACUUUAGUACUCUGUGGUUUAAAGUGUAUCAAGUUAGUACCUUGUGGUUUCGCACUUUCUCACUUUAGCAUCCUGUGGUUUAAAGUGUAUUAAAUUAGUACUCUGUGGUUUCAUUUUUGUAUCAAGUUAGUACCCUGUGGUUUUAUUUUUCUCUUUUUAUUAUCCAUUUCGGAAUAUUUUUUUCGUUAAAUCAGUGACAAAGUUAAAACUCAAGGGCACUAAAAUAAAUAUUCGAUAAACCUAGGUAAAGUAUCUGAAGUUUUUUUGUAUAUAAUUUAACGAAAUAUUAAACCAUAUGGUACUAAAAUGAGAAAGUGCGAAACCACAGAGUACUAACUUGAUACAUUUUAAACCACAGAGUACUAAAGUGCGAAAGUGCGAAACCACAGAGUACUAACUUGAUACAUUUUAAACCACAGAGUACUAAAGUGCGAAAGUGCGAAACCACAGAGUACUAACUUGAUACACUUUAAAUUAUAUAGUAUUAAAAUAAAAAAGUACGAAAUUACAGGGGUAUUUAAAGUUUUUUCUUUAUUUAUUUACAUCAUGUGUUCAAUGCUCAGCCGCCCACCAACCUCUUGGUUUCUCAACGAACGCGCGUGGUACGCGUGCUGGCAAGUCAAUUCUUGGAGUGCGACCAUUGAUUUCUUCAUCCUCCAACUCCCUCCAUUAUUUUUUUGGCCUCCUAUACUCCACUCUACUCACAUUUAUUAAAAGCAUAUGGUACUGCUUCGUGCUCAAAAUUUAUCAUUACAUUACAUGUUGUGACAUAUGGAUCAUAAAAUAUAUAUAUAUAUAGAGUUGGACUGGACUAUUAUUAGUAGCAAAAUCUUAUUAUUACUAUCAAUUUUUUAGCCUUUGAUCAACUCUUUUCAUUAUUUCUAACCAUUUGAUUAAAUACUAUAACCCAGUGGGGACUACUCAACCCUAGAGGGACCACUCAACUCUAAUCGACUAAUAUCAUCCUGACCCUACAAUUUUUCAUCCAAGAGUUAAAAACUUGAUAGCAAAAAAAGUGUUUUACUAUUAAUAAUAUUCCAGCCUAAUUCUCUCUCUCUAUAUAUAUAUAUUCUCUCU